CCUGCACUAAGUGGAGAGCUGAAAUCUAACAUUUAGGGAGAAACAACUGAGUCUAAGUGCCAGCUGUUUCCACAUCUGAAAGCUAUUACAUGCUUCUGUAACCUAGCUGGAUCACAUACAUGUUUCACUGUGCAGAUAAAUGAAAUAGGUAAAUCUUAGCAUACCUUGAACUAUUCGAAAGUGCUGGUAAAUGGAAACCAACAAAUCUGACAGUCCUUAAGUUCUUACUUUCUUUGAAAAGAGAUGGCCCAACCAUAUAGUUCAUAUACAAGUCAAAUCUCAGAUCUUUCUGGGUAAAAUCCCUCCCUCUCCUUCUCCUUCCCUUUACUUGCAAUUCCACAUGCCCACACAAUACUGGAGAAAUUUGUCCGUGCAAGGAGCUGUGCCAGGAGGAAUCAGCCCCUGCAGCUAUGCAGAAACAGGCACCACAGCCCCACUGCUCCUGUGCUGGAAAGGGGUUCUGUAGAAGAUUCCUGCGAAUUAAAAAUUGUCAACUGAUCUGAUCUGGGCUUCUAAAAAUGUGGAAUGAAGUAUGCAUUUCACAACAUGAAAAGCAACCACACUGAAGACAGAACAGGAUAUUGGACCUGAUGAUCUUGAUUUUAAAUUGAUUCCUUAAAAACAAGACUUCCAAGGCAAUCAUUAUAAUAGCAAAGAGCAGAGGGUGCCAGGUGAAGAAAAUAAAUUUGAUAUAAAGGACUCGCAAAAAUGCCCAGCAACUCAAGAAAUCACAAGGCACUCCUGGCCCUGGAGGAAGUCAUAUAGGCACACACACAGCAGGGAUGUUCAGAGGUUGUCUGUGUGGAGAGCAGACAUACUUUUGACUGUCUCUCAACUGCAAAAGCACAGCUUCAACAGCAAGCAGCAAGGUUCCCAUAUUUUUUUUUUUCCAGCAGCCUACAAUUUGCCCCACCAUCCUUUGCUCAAUGUAAUCCCUACUGUGUUAAAGCUAGUACGGACCUUAAUGUUUCUUGUGCCACAGCUGUCAUUUUCUGGGAAAGAAAAAAAAAA
This 1011-nucleotide long non-coding RNA is filed under the name Anas platyrhynchos platyrhynchos (common mallard). Its description in RNAcentral is "lncRNA (ENSAPLG00000025355.1)". Lineage: Eukaryota; Metazoa; Chordata; Aves; Anseriformes; Anatidae. The record is from RNAcentral.